GAAGUUUAGCUCAGCCGGUUCAGAGCACUUGCCUUACAAGCAAGGGGUCACUGGUUCGAAUCCAGUAACUUCC
This 73-nucleotide transfer RNA is filed under the name bovine gut metagenome. It matches the Rfam family "tRNA". From Rfam's summary of the family: Transfer RNA (tRNA) molecules are approximately 80 nucleotides in length. Their secondary structure includes four short double-helical elements and three loops (D, anti-codon, and T loops). Further hydrogen bonds mediate the characteristic L-shaped molecular structure. tRNAs have two regions of fundamental functional importance: the anti-codon, which is responsible for specific mRNA codon recognition, and the 3' end, to which the tRNAs corresponding amino acid is attached (by aminoacyl-tRNA synthetases). tRNAs cope with the degeneracy of the genetic code in two manners: having more than one tRNA (with a specific anti-codon) for a particular amino acid; and 'wobble' base-pairing, i.e. permitting non-standard base-pairing at the 3rd anti-codon position. The record is from RNAcentral.